This 1504-nucleotide unclassified non-coding RNA is filed under the name Hevea brasiliensis (rubber tree). Lineage: Eukaryota; Viridiplantae; Streptophyta; Magnoliopsida; Malpighiales; Euphorbiaceae. The record is from RNAcentral.
CUUUUGGGGAGGAUAUUUAAAUGAGUUGCCUGCAUUGCUACCAUAAUAUUUCCUCUUCACACCUACUAAUUCUAUAUGAUUAUAUAUGCGUCAUUUUGAAUUAAUCACAGUUGCAUCCAGAUUCGCAUUGUCAGACAGAAAUUAAUGAAAAACCAGACCUUGUUAGCUUUGAUCUCCAACUUUAAACAUAUGCACCAUGAUUAGUAAAAUAAAGCAUCCAAGAUGGUUCACCAUAAAGUGAAGAGCAAUAAAAGCUACCCUGUAUUUGAGUGUCUAAAUUGAAGUUGUUGAGAGGAGAAGAUUGCAGAUAUUACAUUGUUGAAUAACCUCAAAAAAGUUUCCGGUCUCUGACAAUGAUUGUCUGCAAGCUUCUUCAUUUUCAGGAGCCGGUUAGAAGUGCAAUAAUAGACUCCUGCAUUCGCAUUACAGAUAAUGGAAGAGAGAGCAUCAAUAGAAAAGUCUUCUUCAUUUUCACACUCUACAGUACUUUAAAUCACAAUGAUCAGCUUAAGUUAGGAGCAAGUAGUUCAGAAGAUGCUGCAGGAUGGAUUCGUUCCUUGCAGAAUGCAGUGUUGAAGGAGUGCCCAAAUCCAGGAAAUGACUUUGUGGCUAUUUCUAAGAGGAAAUGGCCGCCUCUAAGAUUAAGUGUUUCAAAGAGGGUGGACUUCAAGGGAUCAAUAGAUUAUUACUCAACCUUGCACACUGAGGUAAUGACGUCAGAUGUUAUUGCACCCUCUCCAUGGAAAAUUUUUGGCUGCAAGAAUGGACUACGUCUUUUUAAAGAGGCAAAAGAUUGGGAUUCUUGUGGGAGGCAUUGGGAUGAUCAUCCAGCAAUUAUGGCAGUUGGUGUGGUUGACGGGACUUCUGAGGCCAUUUUCCGGACUCUUAUGUCCCUUGGUCCAUUAAGAUCAGAAUGGGACUUCUGUUUUUACCGUGGUAGCAUGGUUGAGCACCUUGAUGGUCAUACAGAUAUUAUUCACAAGCAGUUGUACAGUGAUUUGCUACCUAGGGGAAUGAGACGAAGAGAUCUUUUGUUGAGACGUUAUUGGAGAAGAGAGGAUGAUGGCACCUAUGUGAUCCUAUACCAAUCUGUGAUUCACAAGAAGUGUCCACCACAGAAGGGCUAUGUUCGAGCAUGCCUUAAAAGUGGAGGAUAUGUAAUAACUCCUAUAACCCAAGGAAGGCGAUCACUUGUAAAACAUAUGCUUGCAGUUGAUUGGAAAUCUUGGAAAAUGUACUUUCUCCUAUCAUCCGAAAGAUCCAUAACAAUACGUAUGCUUGAAACAGUUGCAGCACUAAGGGAGCUGUUCAUAGCCAAAGAAGGAAAUUAUGCUGCCUUUUCAUCUAGAGAAUUGACAGGACACAUUGUGUCGCCUCAGGCUGAAAAGGUAGACAAGAAAAUGGUAGUUAAAGGCCCAGAAAAAAUUGAGGAGAAUUCUAGUUUAGUGGAAAAUGAAGCAGAAAAACAAACUACAAGUUUAACUGGCCUGACCAGUGCCACUGA